Molecule: ribosomal RNA, 435 nt
Filed under: uncultured bacterium
Lineage: Bacteria
Description: partial 16S ribosomal RNA
Rfam family: Bacterial small subunit ribosomal RNA
Source: RNAcentral
AACGAACGCUGGCGGCAUGCCUAACACAUGCCAGUCGGACGAUUGCCUUCGGGUGAUAGUGGCGCACGGGUGCGUAACGCGUGGGAAUCUGCCCUUAGGUUCGGAAUAACAGCUGGAAACGGCUGCUAAUACCGGAUGAUAUCGCGAGAUCAAAGAUUUAUCGCCUGAGGAUGAGCCCGCGUUGGAUUAGGUAGUUGGUGGGGUAAAGGCCUACCAAGCCGACGAUCCAUAGCUGGUCUGAGGGGAUGAUCAGCCACACUGGGACUGAGACACGGCCCAGACUCCUACGGGAGGCAGCAGUGGGGAAUAUUGGACAAUGGGCGCAAGCCUGAUCCAGCAAUGCCGCGUGAGUGAUGAAGGCCCUAGGGUUGUAAAGCUCUUUUACCCGGGAAGAUAAUGACUGUACCGGGAGAAUAAGCCCCGGCUAACUCCGUG